Amyelois transitella is the source of this 951-nucleotide long non-coding RNA. RefSeq lists it as uncharacterized. The record is from RefSeq and is a predicted model, not a curated record. Lineage: Eukaryota; Metazoa; Arthropoda; Insecta; Lepidoptera; Pyralidae. The transcript has 4 exons.
GAAAUUCGUAACAACUAGCCGGGGCGCUCGGGCGGUUUAUGUCAACGGAUAUAGGUUUUUGAAGCAGUAUACAACGGGUGGGAGAAAAAUACGUUGGAACUGCGCAACUCACUGCAAGAGAAGCUGCAAGGCCUUCGUGUAUACCGUCAAUGAAGAGUUUGUCAAAGUGAAUAACGAACACAAUCACCCGAAUGGUUUCGGCCUGGAUCAUCUGCCACCGUUCACAUAUUUUCCUGUGAAUUAAAUACAGCAAGGACUCCACUUCCAGCAGCUGAAAGAGAUAAAAGAUACAGGGACAAGUUAGAAAAUUAGCCCAAAAUAUGCUGAUUAUAAAAAACUGCAAUAUUGGAAGAAAAAGCAAUAGAAGGAAAUAGCUCCGUUUUAAAGUACAGAAGAUUGCGGAGCAGUGUCAUACUCCGUGAGUCUGCCAAAAGAUGAAAUGGAAUUGCUGGUUCGGAAAAAAUCAUGGGGCCAAUGUUCACCCGAUCUUCCCGCGGAGCGCAAAUGAUAUACUAUAUGGGUCACAAAUUUCUAAAGCACUCCACUUCCAGAGACGGCACGAAGAUCAGAUGGUGGUGCAGCUUCAACAACAGGGAGUGCCGAGCAGUCAUAUUUACCGUCGGCAACCAAAUUGUGAAGUGCAACAAUUUGCAUAAUCAUCCGCCACCUAAUACACUUUAACGAUCCUAAACUUGUUUAUCAAAAGGCGCAACUCAGGCUCUUUUCCGCAGAGCUUAGGAAACUUUACUCUUUAGUCGUUUGCUAUGUAAUGCCUUACUAGAGUUACUCCGUCUAAUUAUAUUAUCCGUGAUUUACUAGCAUGUGUACUUGAGUCUUUUUCUUUUUACGCUACGACGCAGAAAUGCAUGGUCAGCUUAUGAACACAUCCUAUCCUACCUACAAGUGUAAAAGAGGUGUCAUUUAUUCGAAUUGAAUUUUUUUUUUUUGGUU